AGCGUAGGCGGACUUUUAAGUGAGAUGUGAAAUACCCGGGCUUAACUUGGGUGCUGCAUUUCAAACUGGAAGUCUAGAGUGCAGGAGAGGAGAAUGGAAUUCCUAGUGUAGCGGUGAAAUGCGUAGAUAUUAGGAGGAACACCAGUGGCGAAGGCGACUUUCUGGACUGUAACUGACGCUGAGGCGCGAAAGCGUGGGGAGCAAACAGGAUUAGAUACCCUUGUA
RNAcentral lists this ribosomal RNA (225 nucleotides) under uncultured Clostridium sp. Its description in RNAcentral is "partial 16S ribosomal RNA". It matches the Rfam family "Bacterial small subunit ribosomal RNA", at positions 568 to 792 of the family's 1533-position model. The record is from RNAcentral. Lineage: Bacteria; Bacillati; Bacillota; Clostridia; Eubacteriales; Clostridiaceae.